This 1689-nucleotide long non-coding RNA is filed under the name Mytilus galloprovincialis (Mediterranean mussel). Lineage: Eukaryota; Metazoa; Mollusca; Bivalvia; Mytilida; Mytilidae. The record is from RNAcentral.
AUAUGCUAGUUUGUUCUCUUUAUGUAAUUAAAGACAUACUUUUGUGCAAGGACUAUUAAAUGCAUUGUUGGCUGCUCUUGUGUAGCACACAUGAUAUUUCUUAUUACAUUAUUCAAACUUGUAGUUUAAGAUAUAUUUUUUAUAUAUAUAUUUUUCUAAGCUUUUAGUUUGUAGCUGUUAAUUUGAAUUGAUUUGUUUUUAAAUGUUUUAUGUUUCAUAAUGAAAGCAAUACGUUUAAAAUGUUAAGCGUUCGAAACGCUUUUCCUCGUCAAGAACGCUGAACAGUGACCGUGCAUAUGUUUUAGUCAAGCAUUAUACUUGAACCAUGUUAUGGCACUUUCAUUAUCUAAUGAUCGAUAUCACCCGUUCUUUACUCGUCAAAAAAUUAUAACCAGAGUUCUCUGUAGGCAGUUCACAGAUACCUAGGUAAGCCUCGUGUCGGCUUUGUUUUUUUUUUUAACUCGAACUAAACUAUCAGGUUGCAAAGUGUAUUAUUGUCAGAAUGGUCUGUGUCAACAUUCUACAUGUCCUAACUAAGUUAAAUAAAUAACAAAAAUAGGACAAAUUAAAGAGUAAGUCGUCAAGUUGGUUACAUAUUCCUUCUUUCUUAUACGUUACUUAUUCCCGAUUCCUUAUUCGUUACCUAUUCGGUACUUAUUCUUUAUUCGUUAACUAUUUGGUACUUAUUCCUAAUUCCUUUUUCGUUAUCUACUCAUUACUUAUUCCUUAUUCCUUAUUCGUUACCUAUUCGUUACACUAUCCUUAUUCUCUAUUCGUUACCAGUUACCUAUUCGUUACACAUUCCUCAUUACUUAUUCUUUGUUUACUUAUUCCUUAUUUGUAACUUAUUUAAUUUUAAUAACCCCCCUCAAAUGCUUUAUUUUCUUAUCUCUUGGUAAUAGAUCUUGGUAUUUCAAGGUGAAAUAACCUUUUUAGCGUGUACAUGUAUGUAUCCGUUUUGGCGCUAAGACUGGUCCCCUGUUGAUUACUUUUCCCCUAUUUGCUAUUUUAUACAUUGAAUCUUUUUAAUGCUUUUUUUCAUUUUCUCUUUUGUCUGCGGUGAUAAUUUGUGGUUCGUAGAAUUGAAAUAACACUGUUAGCGCGAAAGUAACCAUUUUUGCACUUGACAAAUACAAUGUUACUUAUUCCAUACUUUUUUGUUUCUCAUUCGAUUUUUUUUAUACAUCAGUAGGACAACCGGAUGUGCCUUUUUGGCCAAAAUGUGAUUCGGCGGCGCUCAGUAGUCCUACGCCGAAUAUUGGACUUUUUUGCGUCGGCCGACGUCAGCUGAAAAAUGGCGCGCUUUUGUAAAAACAUUUCAUUCGUUUACAGCAAAGUACCGGCGGUAAAUGCUGUUGAUUGUAAGCACAUUUAUAAGAGAAAAAUAUAUGAGUUUACUUAUUAUUUACAUGUUUGAACAAAAAAAUAAAAGAAAAUCUUAUUUUUUCACAUCUGAACAUAGAAUUUCGGAUUUCGAUAUUCUGCACUGUAGAAUUAAAUAGCGAUAUUAAAAAGGGGUACAAAAAAAUGCCUAUCCUUCAAUUACCUUAAAUUUUUUACAUCGUAAUUUCGCUAGUUUUUCAAAUCGAAAUCCGUAAAGAAAAGGGGUGUCCAAAGUAGGGCAAAAAAUUGUACCCAUUUUAAAGUAGGGGUCUAAGUUUUUUGAAGGUUUUUUCCUUGCAUGGCCGG